Molecule: ribosomal RNA, 492 nt
Filed under: uncultured bacterium
Lineage: Bacteria
Description: partial 16S ribosomal RNA
Rfam family: Bacterial small subunit ribosomal RNA
Source: RNAcentral
AGUGAACGCUGGCGGUAGGCCUAACACAUGCAAGUCGAACGGCAGCACAGUAAGAGCUUGCUCUUACGGGUGGCGAGUGGCGGACGGGUGAGGAAUACAUCGGAAUCUACUUUUUCGUGGGGGAUAACGUAGGGAAACUUACGCUAAUACCGCAUACGACCUACGGGUGAAAGCAGGGGAUCUUCGGACCUUGCGCGAUUGAAUGAGCCGAUGUCGGAUUAGCUAGUUGGCGGGGUAAAGGCCCACCAAGGCGACGAUCCGUAGCUGGUCUGAGAGGAUGAUCAGCCACACUGGAACUGAGACACGGUCCAGACUCCUACGGGAGGCAGCAGUGGGGAAUAUUGGACAAUGGGCGCGAGCCUGAUCCAGCCAUACCGCGUGGGUGAAGAAGGCCUUCGGGUUGUAAAGCCCUUUUGUUGGGAAAGGAAAGCAGCAGGUUAAUACCCCGCUGUUCUGACGGUACCCAAAGAGUAAGCACCGGCUAACUUCGUG